AGUGAACGCUGGCGGUAGGCCUAACACAUGCAAGUCGAACGGCAGCACAGUAAGAGCUUGCUCUUACGGGUGGCGAGUGGCGGACGGGUGAGGAAUACAUCGGAAUCUACUUUUUCGUGGGGGAUAACGUAGGGAAACUUACGCUAAUACCGCAUACGACCUACGGGUGAAAGCAGGGGAUCUUCGGACCUUGCGCGAUUGAAUGAGCCGAUGUCGGAUUAGCUAGUUGGCGGGGUAAAGGCCCACCAAGGCGACGAUCCGUAGCUGGUCUGAGAGGAUGAUCGGCCAAAUGGAAACUAAAAAACGUUCAAACCCCCUACGGAAGGCACAAUGGGGAAAAAUUGACAAAUGGGGGCAACCUGGAUCAAGCAAAACGCGUGGGUGGAAGAAGGCCUCCGGGUUGUAAACCCUUUUUGUGGGAAAAAAAAGCCACAGGUUUAAAACCCGGUUGUCCUGAGGUACCCAAAGAAUAAGCACCGGCUAACUUCGUG
Molecule: ribosomal RNA, 491 nt
Filed under: uncultured bacterium
Lineage: Bacteria
Description: partial 16S ribosomal RNA
Rfam family: Bacterial small subunit ribosomal RNA
Source: RNAcentral